UACAGAGGUGGCAAGCGUUAUUCGGAAUUAUUGGGCUUAAAGGGCGCGUAGGCGGCCUGACAAGUGGAAGGUGAAAUCCCUCGGCUUAACCGAGGAACUGCCCUCCAAACUGUCUGGCUUGAGACCGGGAGAGGUGAGUGGAAUUCCCAGUGUAGCGGUGAAAUGCGUAGAUAUUGGGAGGAACACCAGUGGCGAAGGCGGCUCACUGGACCGGUACUGACGCUGAGGCGCGAAAGCGUGGGGAGCAAACGGG
RNAcentral lists this ribosomal RNA (253 nucleotides) under uncultured bacterium. RNAcentral describes it as "partial 16S ribosomal RNA". It matches the Rfam family "Bacterial small subunit ribosomal RNA", at positions 524 to 776 of the family's 1533-position model. The record is from RNAcentral.